AGGGUUUGAUCAUGGCUCAGGACGAACGCUGGCGGCAUGCCUAACACAUGCAAGUCGAACGAGAAAGUUCCUUCGGGAGCAAUUAAAGUGGCGCACGGGUGAGUAACGCGUAGACAAUCUGCCCUUCAGUCUGGGACAACUUUUCGAAAGGAGAGCUAAUACCGGAUAGCAAUGCAUGACACAAGUUGUGUAUUUGAAAGCUUUAUGUGCUGAAGGAGGGGUCUGCGUCCCAUUAGCUAGUUGGUAAGGUAAAGGCUUACCAAGGCAACGAUGGGUAGCGGGUUUGAGAGGACGAUCCGCCACACUGGAACUGAGACACGGUCCAGACUCCUACGGGAGGCAGCAGUGGGGAAUAUUGCACAAUGGAGGAAACUCUGAUGCAGCAAUGUCGCGUGAGUGAAGAAGGCCCUUGGGUCGUAAAGCUCUUUUAUGGGGGAAGAUGAUGACGGUACCCCAAGAAUAAGCACCGGCUAACUAUGUGCCAGCAGCCGCGGUAAUACAUAGGGUGCGAGCGUUGUUCGGAAUUACUGGGCGUAAAGGGCGCGCAGGCGGAAUAGUAAGUCGGAGGUGAAAGCCCGGGGCUCAACCCCGGAGGGUCUUUCGAAACUACUAAUCUAGAGAGGG
RNAcentral lists this ribosomal RNA (624 nucleotides) under uncultured bacterium. RNAcentral describes it as "bacterial SSU rRNA". It matches the Rfam family "Bacterial small subunit ribosomal RNA", at positions 8 to 650 of the family's 1533-position model. The record is from RNAcentral.